UCGACUAAGGUUCGACUCGAGCGAAGCGAGAGAACGUUGCCGCAGGCAACGGCCCGAAGGGCGAGGAGCGAUAGCGACGAGUU
RNAcentral lists this small RNA (83 nucleotides) under Klebsiella pneumoniae. RNAcentral describes it as "RtT RNA". It matches the Rfam family "RtT RNA", at positions 32 to 112 of the family's 130-position model. From Rfam's summary of the family: This family represents a bacterial cis-regulatory element known as RtT RNA. The record is from RNAcentral. Lineage: Bacteria; Pseudomonadati; Pseudomonadota; Gammaproteobacteria; Enterobacterales; Enterobacteriaceae.